GCCAGACUCCUACGGGAGGCAGCAGUGAGGAAUAUUGCACAAUGGGGGGAACCCUGAUGCAGCGACGCCGCGUGGGUGAAGGAGCACCUCGGUGCGUAAAGCCCUGUCAGCAGGGAAGAAAAUGACGGUACCUGAAGAAGAAGCCCCGGCUAACUACGUGCCAGCAGCCGCGGUAAUACGUAGGGGGCAAGCGUUAUCCGGAUUUACUGGGUGUAAAGGGAGCGUAGACGGCGGCGCAAGCCAGAUGUGAAAGCCCGGGGCCCAACCCCGGGACUGCUCUGGAAACUGCGUCGCUGGAGUACGGGAGGGGCAGGCGGAAUUCCUGGUGUAGCGGUGAAAUGCGUAGAUAUCAGGAGGAACACCGGCGGCGAAGGCGGCCUGCUGGACCGUGACUGACGUUGAGGCUCGAGAGCGUGGGGAGCAAACAGGAUUAGAUACCCCCGUAC
RNAcentral lists this ribosomal RNA (446 nucleotides) under uncultured bacterium. RNAcentral's name for it is "bacterial SSU rRNA". It matches the Rfam family "Bacterial small subunit ribosomal RNA", at positions 330 to 793 of the family's 1533-position model. The record is from RNAcentral.